GUUGUGGCUCAGGGAUUGAGCACUUGCCUCGAAUGCAGGAGAAACUGGGUUUGAUCCCAGCACAACA
This 67-nucleotide transfer RNA is filed under the name Ictidomys tridecemlineatus (thirteen-lined ground squirrel). RNAcentral describes it as "Spermophilus tridecemlineatus (thirteen-lined ground squirrel) tRNA". It matches the Rfam family "tRNA". From Rfam's summary of the family: Transfer RNA (tRNA) molecules are approximately 80 nucleotides in length. The record is from Rfam by way of RNAcentral. Lineage: Eukaryota; Metazoa; Chordata; Mammalia; Rodentia; Sciuridae.